AGAGUUUGAUUUUGGCUCAGGAUGAACGCUGGCGGCGUGCCUAAUACAUGCAAGUCGAACGCACCGCUUCGGUGGUGAGUGGCGAACGGGUGAGUAAUACAUAAGUAACCUGGCCUUUCGAGGGGGAUAACUAUUGGAAACGAUAGCUAAGACCGCAUAGGCAUAAUUCUCGCAUGAGAGUUAUGUUAAAUAUCCCAAGGGAUAGCGAGAGGAUGGACUUAUGGCGCAUUAGCUAGUUGGUGAGGGUAACGGCCCACCAAGGCGACGAUGCGUAGCCGACCUGAGAGGGUGGACGGCCACACUGGGACUGAGACACGGCCCAGACUCCUACGGGAGGCAGCAGUAGGGAAUUUUCGGCAAUGGGCGAAAGCCUGACCGAGCAACGCCGCGUGAGGGAGGAAGUAUUUCGGUAUGUAAACCUCUGUUAUAAAGGAAGAACGGCGCAUGUAGGGAAUGACAUGCGAGUGACGGUACUUUAUGAGAAAGCCACGGCUAACUACGUGCCAGCAGCCGCGGUAAUACGUAGGUGGCGAGCGUUAUCCGGAAUCAUUGGGCGUAAAGAGGGAGCAGGCGGCAACUAGGGUCUGCGGUAAAAGACCGAAGCUAAACUUCGGUAAGCCGUGGAAACCGAGGAGCUAGAGUGCAGUAGAGGAUCGUGGAAUUCCAUGUGUAGCGGUGAAAUGCGUAGAUAUAUGGAGGAACACCAGUGGCGAAGGCGACGAUCUGGGCUGCAACUGACGCUCAGUCCCGAAAGCGUGGGGAGCAAAUAGGAUUAGAUACCCUAGUAGUCCACGCCGUAAACG
RNAcentral lists this ribosomal RNA (803 nucleotides) under uncultured bacterium. RNAcentral's name for it is "bacterial SSU rRNA". It matches the Rfam family "Bacterial small subunit ribosomal RNA", at positions 8 to 808 of the family's 1533-position model. The record is from RNAcentral.